Molecule: non-coding RNA, 2393 nt
Organism: Oncorhynchus keta (chum salmon)
Lineage: Eukaryota; Metazoa; Chordata; Actinopteri; Salmoniformes; Salmonidae
Source: the annotation of a RefSeq genome assembly
AUCAAUGGUCAGUCCAGCGAAGUGGUCACUCGCUCCUGGCAAGCUCGCCAAAGUGUUGGUCAAUUUCUUCAACAAAUGUUCAGGUCUAUAUAAUUAUAAAACAUACUUUAUUAAUGGAAAGGAAACACAGACUCUUUGUUUGAGUAUUAAAAUACUCCUUUAGUAAUACAAUUGUAGGCAGAAGCUGGUACAGAGUACAGUAUAUGAUAGCUUUCCCCAGAUUCUGCAAAAUGUCUAAGACAUCCUGUAACUCAUAUAGCCUCUCCCAGUCCACCUUGUGUGAAUUUCCCUGGCAACAACAUUUGAAUAAAUCUAACCUCCCCCUGACAGCAGCAACCAUCUAAUCAGCAAUUAAAAGCUCAGAAGUGGGUUUGACCGAAACUUGACCUCAUCACAUUUAUAGGGUCAUAACAAGGUGAACAAGUCCAAGCAUCUUCUGACAGGUGGCUGUUUUCAUCAGGCCUGCAGUAGCCUUGUGUCCUCAGAAAACCAGAUAACCACAGUGGGGCCCAGACAGGAGGAGUAUGAAUGUACUGUACUUUUCCUUCUUCUGAUAGUGUCUGAAGGGCACAACACUCAAAAACAGAUUUUAAUACACCUCCUAGAAGAGGAGACCUAACAGUUGAUCAUAACAUCAAUUAUUAACCCUUUAAAAGGUAUGAGGCCUUGGCUUAACCCUCUUAAUGGUACAGGUCAGUUUGUGUGAUUCUCCAGGUUUAUUAACUAAUGGUUAAGACUCCGUCAGUGUCUGACCAUGAACACCUGUUGAAGGAAAUCACCGAUGUUGUCAAAGUGGCAGCAGCAGACAUGGAAGGAACAUGGUUUGUGUUGAAGCUGAACUGGUGGGAGAUGCUCUUGUCUUGUUACACAUUGUUUAAAAGUGCGCCUGUUCAUUACACUCUGCUCAAAUGCACCUGACUUCGCCUCCCGUACACACCUUUGACACUUAUGGUAUAUCUGUGUCAGUGUUGUGUGAAAAAACAGCACAUUUUAGCCUUUUACUGUCCCCAACACAAUGUGCAUCUGUGUAAUGACCAUGCUGUUUAAUCAGCUUCUUGAUAUGCCACACCUGGAUUAUCUUGGCAAAGUAAAAAUGCUCACUAACAGGAAUGUAAACAAAUUUCUGCGUACAAUUUGAGAGAAAUAAGCUUUUUGUGCAUAUGGAACAUUUCGGGGAUCUUUUAUUUCAGCUCAUGAAACAUGGGACCAACACUUUACAUGUUGCGUUAAAAUUUUGUUCAGUAUACAGGAUAUAUCCACACAAAAGCUAUAUAGUAAAAAAAAAAUUCAUACACAUCUCUGCCGUUUUAGUGUCUCCCUGUCAGGUCUCCCUAAAUACCCCUCUCCCCCCAUCUCUCUACGUCAAUGCAAACCCUCCCCCGGAUCCUUUCAGUACUUAAACAGGGUCUGCCUUUAGAGGAACUCUGAGUCCUGGAGAGUAAAGAAGAGCAACCACCACCAGUUCAGCUUCAACACAAACCAUGUUCCCUGCAUCUUUACUGCUGCUUCUGGCAGCUGCCUCCUGUGUUCACUGUGAAGAACUCACUCAGCCAGCCUCUAUGACUGUCCAGCCAGGUCAACCACUGACCAUCUCUUGUAAGGUUUCAUAUUCUGUAGGUAGCUAUUACACAGCUUGGAUCCGACAGCCUGCAGGGAAAACACUGGAGUGGAUUGGAAUGAAAUAUACUGGAGGAACGCACCACAAAGACUCCCUGAAAAAUAAGUUCAGCCUCACAGUAGACUCCUCCAGCAAUACUGUGACUUUAACAGGACAGAGUCUGCAGACUGAGGACACAGCUGUGUAUUAUUGUGCUCGCCUCCACAGUGAUACAAACCACCACCAGACCUAUACUAAAACUCAAUCAACCUUUAUACAGUAGGAGUUUUAUGUAUCUCCCAGGAGGGGGCGAUAUUAACUUUAAUAAAAUAAAGCCAAAUCACCUCAUGGAGUCAUGAAUUUAGUUUAUAUAGUUUCUAGUUUAUACUAGUUUGAUAUUUAAAUGAUGAGCGUAGACAAAUAUAUGUACAAUAUAGUCUAAAGCUCCAAGCUGUUAUUGCUACAUAAUAUAACAUGUAAAAACAAGUUCCAAACUCUGAAAGAGUACAUGUUAGUCAUUUAGCAGAUGCUCUAAUCCAGAGCUAUUUACAGGAGCAAUUAUGGUUAAGUGCCUUGCUCAAGGGCAUACCGACAGAUUUUUCACCCAGUAGGCUCAAGGAUUCAAUGCAGCAAACUUUCAGUUACUGGCCCAAUGCUCUUAACUGCUAGGCUACCUGCUGCUCACUGAGACAGUCAACAUCAAGCUCAUUGUCUCAAAGGUAUGAAAAAUGGUUUUCCAUAAAAAAUACACAUCCUUAAUUGUUGACCCUCUUAAUCAAAACAUAAGUGCUUCACU